RNAcentral lists this ribosomal RNA (480 nucleotides) under uncultured bacterium. Its description in RNAcentral is "bacterial SSU rRNA". It matches the Rfam family "Bacterial small subunit ribosomal RNA", at positions 30 to 506 of the family's 1533-position model. The record is from RNAcentral.
UUGAACGCUGGCGGCAUGCCUUACACAUGCAAGUCGAACGGCAGCGCGGGGCAACCUGGCGGCGAGUGGCGAACGGGUGAGUAAUAUAUCGGAACGUACCCUGGAGUGGGGGAUAACGUAGCGAAAGUUACGCUAAUACCGCAUACGAUCUAAGGAUGAAAGUGGGGGAUCGCAAGACCUCAUUCUUCUGGAGCGGCCGAUAUCUGAUUAGCUAGUUGGUGGGGUAAAGGCCUACCAAGGCAUCGAUCAGUAGCUGGGCUGAGAGGACGAACAGCCACACUGGAACGGAGACACGGUCCAGACUCCUACGGGAGGCAGCAGUGGGGAAUUUUGGACAAUGGGCGAAAGCCUGAUCCAGCAAUGCCGCGUGAGUGAAGAAGGCCUUCGGGUUGUAAAGCUCGUUUGUCAGGGAAGAAACGGUGAGAGCUAAUAUCUCUUGCUAAUGACGGUACCUGAAGAAUAAGCACCGGCUAACUACGU